RNAcentral lists this unclassified non-coding RNA (330 nucleotides) under soil metagenome. RNAcentral describes it as "partial contains 5.8S ribosomal RNA, internal transcribed spacer 2, and large subunit ribosomal RNA". The stretch from base 1 to 121 matches the Rfam family "5.8S ribosomal RNA", at positions 35 to 154 of the family's 154-position model. The record is from RNAcentral.
GAUGAAGAACGUAGCGAAAUGCGAUAAGUAAUGCGAAUUGCAGAAUUCCAGUGAAUCAUCGAAUCUUUGAACGCACAUUGCGCCCCUUGGUAUCCCGAGGGGCAUGCCUGUUCGAGCGUCAUUUCACCACUCAAGCCUGGCUUGGUGUUGGGCGACGUCCUCUUUGGGGACGCGCCUCGAAACGCUCGGCGACGUGGCACCGGCUUUAAGCGUAGCAGAAUCUUUCGCUUUGGAAGUCGGGGCCCCGUCUGCCGGAAGACCUGCUCGCAAGGUUGACCUCGGAUCAGGCAGGGAUACCCGCUGAACUUAAGCAUAUCAAUAAGCGGAGGA